UAGAUACCCUGGUAGUCCGCGCCGUAAACGAUGAUUACUCGUUGUCGGCUCUUCGGAGUCGGUGACCAAGCGAAAGUGAUAAGUAAUCCACCUGGGGAGUACGCUCGCAAGGGUGAAACUCAAAGGAAUUGACGGGGGCCCGCACAAGCGGUGGAGCAUGUGGUUUAAUUCGAUGAUACGCGAGGAACCUUACCAGGGCUUAAAUGGGAGAUGAAUAAUUUGGAAACAGAUUAGCCUUCGGGCAUCUUUC
Molecule: ribosomal RNA, 250 nt
Filed under: uncultured bacterium
Lineage: Bacteria
Description: partial 16S ribosomal RNA
Rfam family: Bacterial small subunit ribosomal RNA
Source: RNAcentral